Molecule: long non-coding RNA, 895 nt
Filed under: Zalophus californianus (California sea lion)
Lineage: Eukaryota; Metazoa; Chordata; Mammalia; Carnivora; Otariidae
Description: lncRNA (ENSZCAG00015005009.1)
Source: RNAcentral
CAGCAGCAGACAUGAGGACAGCCGCUCCCCUUCCUUUGCAUUGGUAGGACUUCCAAAGUAGUCAAGGACUUCCUACUUCCUCCAUUACCUACGGCAACAAAGACAAUGAAGAGAAGGAAGUGGUACUUCCUUCCUAGCCAAUCCAUUUUCUGGGAUGGAACCAGGUGGGUGCUGUUCUUGGUUUAUUUUUGUAAAAUGAGGUUUGGGAUUGUUUGGGUUGCGGGGAGGAGGGAGAUGCAGGAGCACAACUGAGGGCUGAGGUGGGCAUUGGUUCUAAAUCAGCUUUCUGCAUGGGCAUUUGCUCAGCACCCGCUGCCAUGGUAGCCCCCCCUUGGUAAAGAAAUAGACCCAGAUUCCGUGUUCUAGGCAGUGCUUCUUGACUAUAGUACCUGAAUCAAUGGUUCCAGAACUACCCAAGGAACUUGUCAGAUAUGGACCCCUGAGCCUUCCCUACUGGAUCAGCAUCUCUGGGGCUGAGCCCAGUUCCCAGCCUGGAUAUUAAUGAUUACCCUAGAGCUGGAGAAUCAUUGUUCUAGAGUUUUCCAUUCAAGACAGGAGUGCUCAGUGAUGUCGUCUGUGUUCUUCAUCUCUGCUUCUUGAACAAACUUUUUACUGAGCGUGUUGACCAUGCGCCAGACAUUCAGCUACUUGUUAUCUUUGCUGAGAGCCAUGAAAAUAAGACUGCCAACUAUUCAAAAGCGGAACUGUGCCCACAUUGGAGUUAUAUCCUUGCCCCACGGGCCCCCAGCGGCCAGCCCAGCUCUGGCCACAUUUACAGGUCAAGGCGUGGGUCAAAUCUUGAAUGCUUCCUUUUAAGAACCUGGUCUUAGCCUGCUUUCCUCCGCACGCCCACCCCCCCACCAUCAGUGACAGAUAAUAAACAAAUAAUCUUUGC